UUUGUUUUGCUCCAUCAUUCUCUUUCCAGAAUCAUCAGGAAGAGAGAAAAAACCCCGAAGUCUUCUACAAGUCUCCAGCAUCGCUCACCAUCUCACAGCAGCUGAUACCUUCAAUAUUUUGAGAGACAAGUUCAAAAAUGGAAAGACAAGGGCUUACCUUCAUACUGUACCUCCAAAUGUAGUGAGUGAAGCACUCCCAGCACAGAACCUACAAUACUCGGGUGGGCUUUCCCUACAAUUGUCUGGCAAAGUAAUAGAGCAAGAAGGAGGCAUUAUUUCUUGAACUGGAAUCAGUUGCUUGAGGCCAAGAAUUUCCAGCAGUGUGAGGACACCACCGAUUUCUAAGAAUUCAAUAAUGUACCGUUGACUGAAAAAAAAAGAAAAG
Anolis carolinensis (green anole) is the source of this 385-nucleotide long non-coding RNA. RefSeq lists it as uncharacterized. The record is from RefSeq and is a predicted model, not a curated record. The transcript has 3 exons. NCBI's taxonomy places the organism in Eukaryota, Metazoa, Chordata, Lepidosauria, Squamata, Anolidae.